This 424-nucleotide ribosomal RNA is filed under the name uncultured bacterium. RNAcentral describes it as "bacterial SSU rRNA". It matches the Rfam family "Bacterial small subunit ribosomal RNA", at positions 495 to 917 of the family's 1533-position model. The record is from RNAcentral.
AUCAGACACGGUGCCAGCAGCCGCGGUAAUACAGAGGGUGCAAGCGUUGUUCGGAAUUACUGGGCGUAAAGCGUGCGUAGUCGGUAUUGAGAGUCGCGGGUGAAAUCCCAGGGCUUAACCCUGGAACUGCCUGCGAGACCUCAGUACUAGAGUGUGAGAGGGGAUAGUGGAAUACCCAGUGUAGCGGUGAAAUGCGUAGAGAUUGGGUGGAACACCGGUGGCGAAGGCGGCUAUCUGGCUCACAACUGACGAUCAGGCACGAAAGCGUGGGGAGCAAACAGGAUUAGAUACCCUGGUAGUCCACGCCGUAAACUAUCCAUACAAGCUGUAGUGGGGUUUUACUCCUGCUGUGGCGAAGCUAACGCAAUUAGUAUGGCGCCUGGGGAGUACGGUCGCAAGACUAAAACUCAAAUGAAUUGACGGG